RNAcentral lists this long non-coding RNA (285 nucleotides) under Elaeis guineensis (African oil palm). Its description in RNAcentral is "long non-coding RNA (EGUI_LNC069298)". Lineage: Eukaryota; Viridiplantae; Streptophyta; Magnoliopsida; Arecales; Arecaceae. The record is from RNAcentral.
GUAGAAGUUGGAACUGAAGUCAAAACUUAAUUGGUUUUAAGAUCGACUUCCUAUAGCGUCUUGUCAUUUUUGUAUAGUAUCAAGAAUCUUCAUGUAGAUGAACAGUAAUAAUGUUAGGAAUCUUCUUGUGGCUUGCUUGUCAUCUUUAGAUCCUAGCAUAGAUCGAUUUUUGAAGAUAAACCAUUUUUAAGAAUUAAAAUGACUUCAAGAAUAGUAGUUGUGGUCGAUAUUGUCUUCAAAGAAUGGUGAUAGUCAUCUGGUUGUCAAAGUAGCUAAUAAAAGAGC